GGCUAUGAUCUAUAGCUGGUCUGAGAGGACGAUCAGCCACACUGGAACUGAGAUACGGUCCAGACUCCUACGGGAGGCAGCAGUGGGGAAUAUUGGACAAUGGGCGAAAGCCUGAUCCAGCUAUGCCGCGUGAGUGAAGAAGGCCUUCGGGUUGUAAAGCUCUUUCAAUAGGGAAGAUAAUGACGGUACCUAUAGAAGAAGUCCCGGCAAACUCCGUGCCAGCAGCCGCGGUAAUACGGAGGGGGCAAGCGUUGUUCGGAAUUAUUGGGCGUAAAGGGCACGUAGGUGGACUAGUAAGUUAAAAGUGAAAUACCAAAGCUUAACUUUGGAGCUGCUUUUAAUACUGCUAGACUAGAGGUCGAAAGAGG
RNAcentral lists this ribosomal RNA (368 nucleotides) under uncultured Ehrlichia sp. Its description in RNAcentral is "bacterial SSU rRNA". It matches the Rfam family "Bacterial small subunit ribosomal RNA", at positions 272 to 657 of the family's 1533-position model. The record is from RNAcentral. Lineage: Bacteria; Pseudomonadati; Pseudomonadota; Alphaproteobacteria; Rickettsiales; Anaplasmataceae.